This 465-nucleotide ribosomal RNA is filed under the name uncultured bacterium. Its description in RNAcentral is "partial 16S ribosomal RNA". It matches the Rfam family "Bacterial small subunit ribosomal RNA", at positions 338 to 795 of the family's 1533-position model. The record is from RNAcentral.
CCUACGGGAGGCAGCAGUGGGGAAUAUUCCACAAUGAGCGAAAGCCUGACGCAGCGACGCCGCGUGCGCGAUGAAGGUCUUCGGAUCGUAAACCUCUGUCAGCAGGGAAGAACGUUCACUGUAGGAAUCAAUUGUGAAUUGACGGUACCUGCUCAGAAAACAACGGCUAACUCUGUGCCAGCAGCCGCGGUAAUCCGUAGGGGGCAAGCGUUAAUCGGAAUUAUUGGGCGUAAAGCGCUCGUAGGCGGUAUGUCAAGUCAAGGGUGAAAUCCCCGGGCUCAACGCCGGGCUCGCUUUGGAUACUGGCAAACUAGAGUUAGAUAGAGGUAAGCGGAAUUCCAGGGGAAGGGGUGAAAUGCGUAGAUAUCUGGAAGAACAUCAAAGGCGAAGGCAGCUAACUGGCUCUAAACUGACGCUGAGGGACGAAAGCGUGGGUAGCAAACAGGAUUAGAUACCCGGGUAGUC